This 292-nucleotide ribosomal RNA is filed under the name uncultured bacterium. Its description in RNAcentral is "partial 16S ribosomal RNA". It matches the Rfam family "Bacterial small subunit ribosomal RNA", at positions 505 to 796 of the family's 1533-position model. The record is from RNAcentral.
GUGUCAGCCGCCGCGGUAAUACGAAGGCCCCGAGCGUUAUCCGGAUUUAUUGGGCGUAAAGCGUUAAUAGGCGGUUCUGUAAGUAUUUGGUUAAAUCUCAUGGCUCAACCAUGAGGCUGCCGGAUAAACUGCAGGACUUGAGGUCGGAAGAGGCAAGCGGAACUACCGGUGUAGUGGUAAAAUGCGUUAAUAUCGGUAGGAACACCAAAGGCGAAGGCAGCUUGCUGGUACGAACCUGACGCUAAAUAACGAAAGCGUGGGGAGCGAAUGGGAUUAGAAACCCCAGUAGUCC